AUUGAACGCUGGCGGCAGGCCUAACACAUGCAAGUCGAACGAGUGGCGGACGGGUGAGUAAUGUCUGGGAAACUGCCCGAUGGAGGGGGAUAAAUACUGGAACCGGUAGCUCAUACCGCCUACCCUCCGAUGUGCCCAGAUGGGAUUAGCUAGUAGGGGGGGUAACGGCUCACCUAGGCGACGAUCCCUAUCUGGUCUGAGAGGAUGACCAGCCAAACUGGAAAUGAGACACGGUCCAGACUCCUACGGGAGGCAGCAGUGGGGAAUAUUUCACAAUGGGCGCAAGCCUGAUGCAGCCAUGCCGCGUGUAUGAAGAAGGCCUUCGGGUUGUAAAGUACUUUCAGCGAGGAGGCGUUACUCGCAGAAGAAGCACCGGCUAACUCCGUGCCAGCAGCCGCGGUAAUUC
Molecule: ribosomal RNA, 406 nt
Filed under: uncultured bacterium
Lineage: Bacteria
Description: partial 16S ribosomal RNA
Rfam family: Bacterial small subunit ribosomal RNA
Source: RNAcentral